GAUGAACGCUGGCGGCGUGCCUAAUACAUGCAAGUCGAGCGAACAGACGAGGAGCUUGCUCCUCUGACGUUAGCGGCGGACGGGUGAGUAACACGUGGAUAACCUACCUAUAAGACUGGGAUAACUUCGGGAAACCGGAGCUAAUACCGGAUAAUAUAUUGACCGCAUGGGUUAAUAGGUGAAGGCCGGUUUUCUUGUCACUAUUAGAUGAAUCCCCGCCCCUUUAGCUAGUUGGUAAGGUAACGGCUUACCAAGGCAACGAUGCGUAGCCGACCUGAGAGGGUGAUCGGCCACACUGGAACUGAGACACGGUCCAGACUCCUACGGGAGGCAGCAGUAGGGAAUCUUCCGCAAUGGGCGAAAGCCUGACGGAGCAACGCCGCGUGAGUGAUGAAGGUCUUCGGAUCGUAAAACUCUGUUAUUAGGGAAGAACAAAUGUGUAAGUAACUAUGCACGUCUUGACGGUACCUAAUCAGAAAGCCACGGCUAACUACGUG
RNAcentral lists this ribosomal RNA (497 nucleotides) under uncultured bacterium. RNAcentral describes it as "partial 16S ribosomal RNA". It matches the Rfam family "Bacterial small subunit ribosomal RNA", at positions 28 to 507 of the family's 1533-position model. The record is from RNAcentral.